CUCGGACCUUGUACACACCGCCCGUCACGCCACGAAAGUUGUUUGUACCCGAAAUCGUUUUAGCUAACCUGUAAAGGAGGCGGACGCUGAAGGUAUGGGGAAUGAUUGGGGUG
RNAcentral lists this ribosomal RNA (113 nucleotides) under uncultured bacterium. RNAcentral describes it as "partial 16S ribosomal RNA". It matches the Rfam family "Bacterial small subunit ribosomal RNA", at positions 1373 to 1482 of the family's 1533-position model. The record is from RNAcentral.